CACCUUUAGUCUUGUGAUGAAGCAAAGCUCAGGAAGAAGUGUAAUUAAAUGGUACCCACAUGUGUGCUGCUGAGAAGGAUGUACAGGGGCACCUGCAGCCAAAUCCAAGCCUCCUCAGCAACUUCAGGUCUGUCAGCGUGCUGAGGUCACAGAAACAAGAAAAGCAGCUUCAGACUUUAGAGUGUUGUUUACAGUUUUCUGACAUCAUGAUCUCCCCUGAAGUUUAUCACUAUUAGGCAAGCAAGCAGAGCAGCAGUUUGUGCUCACAGAUGGUGACGGUGUGGAGAGACGGUGGUGUUUCCUCAGAAGAACUAGCAGAGUCACAAAGGACACGAGUCCUUCUCACCACCUUGACUUGUUGAUCAGUGGAUACACUUGUCUCCCCUUUAAAGGAGACACUCUUAGAGAGAGACGAUCUGAGUCAUCCUUAAAUAUGGACAGGAUAUCACUAUUGGACUGUCUAACCUGCCGGAGCAGCACUGAAUGACCACCACACAUGAUCAGUUCCUGCAACAUUCAGCAGCUCUGCUUUUGUGUCAAAUGUCAACCAGCUGGAGAGGAAACUACACCAGUGUACUGGGAUGUUUCACCAACACGUGCCAGACGCUGUUCCUUCAUGGUGACAUCACCAGAGACGGCCCCGCCCACCUCAGGACCUCGCCAUUGAUCAUGAUGAUUAUAAUGAUGACAGCGAGCGGAACUAAGACUGUAAAAAUCAGAAUGUUUAGAUGCUUUCUAAUUAUUAAUGAAUACUGAGAGCCUCUUUCUGUGUUUUGUCUGUUUUGGGGUUUUUUUUACCUCAUUUGUUACUAACAAAGUUCACCAAACUCACACAGUUUACAUUCUGUAUGUUUCCAUCUUUACCAGCCACACUCUACCCGCAAUUAAGAAAAUAAUCCUUAGAAAUUGUCGUUUUUCUCUUUUGUAAUUUUGUAAUUCAGUGAAUAUACGGCGCUGCUUCCUUUAAUUGCGUCUCACAUUGCUUUAAGUUUUUCCAGUGUCCAGUUAUUUUUUACUGUUGUUUGAAUUCUCUGUAUGUUUGACCCUGUAGACUGUUUGAUGGACUGCUUGUCUUCCUGUUUGUAACCGCCGCCUGUUUUUGACUAAAGAUUUGGAUUUCUGACUUUAA
Molecule: long non-coding RNA, 1129 nt
Organism: Oreochromis niloticus (Nile tilapia)
Lineage: Eukaryota; Metazoa; Chordata; Actinopteri; Cichliformes; Cichlidae
Exons: 5
Source: RefSeq, a predicted model, not a curated record